RNAcentral lists this ribosomal RNA (506 nucleotides) under uncultured bacterium. RNAcentral describes it as "partial 16S ribosomal RNA". It matches the Rfam family "Bacterial small subunit ribosomal RNA", at positions 30 to 523 of the family's 1533-position model. The record is from RNAcentral.
AUUGAACGCUGGCGGUAUGCUUAACACAUGCAAGUCGAACGGCAGCAUGGUCUAGCUUGCUAGACUGAUGGCGAGUGGCGGACGGGUGAGUAACGCGUAGGAAUAUGCCUUGAAGAGUGGGACAACUUGGGGAAACUCAAGCUAAUACCGCAUGUACUCGAGAGAGUAAAGCUGGGGACCUUUAGGCCUGGCGCUUUAAGAUUAGCCUGCGUCCGAUUAGCUAGUUGGUAGGGUAAAGGCCUACCAAGGCGACGAUCGGUAGCUGGUCUGAGAGGAUGAUCAGGCACACGGGAAUUGAGAGACGGUCCAGAGUCCUACGGGAGGCAGCAGUAGGGAAUAUUGGACAAUGGGAGGAACCCUGAUCCAGCAAUGCCGCGUGUGUGAAGAAGGCCUGAGGGUUGUAAAGCACUUUCAGUGGGGAAGAGGUUUGAAAGGUUAAGAGCUUUUCAAAUGGACGUUACCAACAGAAGAAGCACCGGCUAACACCGUGCCAGCCGCCGCGGUAA